This 430-nucleotide ribosomal RNA is filed under the name uncultured delta proteobacterium. Its description in RNAcentral is "bacterial SSU rRNA". It matches the Rfam family "Bacterial small subunit ribosomal RNA", at positions 355 to 776 of the family's 1533-position model. Lineage: Bacteria; Deltaproteobacteria. The record is from RNAcentral.
UGGGGAAUUUUGCGCAAUGGGCGAAAGCCUGACGCAGCGACGCCGCGUGAGGGAAGAAGGUCCUCGGAUCGUAAACCUCUGUCGGAGGGGAAGAAACUGCAGGGUGCUAAUACCACCUUGCAUUGACGGUACCCUUUGAGGAAGCAUCGGCUAACUACGUGCCAGCAGCCGCGGUAAUACGUAGGAUGCAAGCGUUGUUCGGAAUUAUUGGGUGUAAAGGGCGCGUAGGCGGCUUGGCCAGUCACGGGUGAAAGCCCCCGGCUUAACCGGGGAAUUGCCCGUGAUACUACCAAGCUCGAGUACGGGAGAGGGAAGUGGAAUUCCUGGUGUAGCGGUGAAAUGCGUAGAUAUCAGGAGGAACACCGGUGGCGAAGGCGGCUUCCUGGACCGAUACUGACGCUGAGGCGCGAAAGCGUGGGUAGCAAACAGG